UAGGAGAAAAAAUCUUAUGAAUCUUAAUAAGGUUUGUUCCCUUCUUUCUUUGUCUGCAACUUUUCAAAGUUUCUGAUUAUGCAAUUUCUCUAUGUCUAUGGUAACAGCAAGACAGGUGAUCAAGGCCUGUUACCAAAUUUAAAUGAAUGGGCGUGCUUUUGUUGAAACAAUUGCUCUACUACUUGCUUUCCUCAGUUGUCUGCCCUUGGAACUGUCAAUUCCUACGAGGAUUUUCUACGAAGUUGGUGGGAGGAGUAUCCAUAAAGUUGGUGUAUUAACGGACCUCCGGAAAUGCAGAAUUUCAGAAAGGAGGCAGAUGAUGUAAGUAUGCUGUAUUUGAAAGCUUCUUGGCUCUCACUUUCCUAAUGCAAUCUAUUAAUCACUAGAGAAAAAUUACACAAUAAGCAUAGCAACAAUUGACUUUCAAAAACAAAAACUGCAUCAUCCUACUAUUUAUGAAAGAAAAUCAUACACUAUUUCCAUCAUCUGGAAAAUUCAAAUUCCUCAUCACUUAACUGAACUUCUUUACUCUGAAUAAUUAUAUCCAACCAAGUAGCUUGAGACGGUAAUAGUUGCAAAUUUUCUAAUACACUCCCUUUUUGUUGGGUUAGUCAAUACAUUCAUUUGUUCGGUUCUAAAGAAACAAAAAGCUACUUGGAUUUUGUACCAUUCCACAAGAUUUCGAUUUGAUAAUGUUUUUUCGCACUAUAUAUUUCAGUUGCUAUUGAAAUCGAUGCUUUGAACUGUGAUUUUGUGGGGAACAAGACGGAAGUAGGUUAGUUUGUUUGUGCUCAAAAGAAGGAACUUUUUCAUUGUUCAAGAGAAUUAGGAUUUUGGGUAAGUUGCUAUUUGAUAGUGAGCUUCCAGAGUUUGGAGAGGUAUGGUUUUCUUUUAGCUGAAAUGCUGAGUAUUUAGAGAUGUGUUGAUUGUGCAUGGCUUCCUUGAGUGUGCUUGUUCGGCUUUGUUUAUCUGUGUUCUGAUUAAUUUGGCAAACUGUUCAGUUGAAUGAAUCAUUUGGUGGCUCUACAGGGUGACAUGGUAUAGAAGUUGAUAUAUCAGAUAUACAAGAAACCUUAUCCAAAUAUUGUUGUUUUAGCAGUUGGAGCAGGUGAUAAAACAAUUAUAUGCUCAAAGUUGCCCAAACUGGAGAUAGAAAAUAUGGUAACCCCAUCAAUGACCAAGUCUUUGCAUGACGUAGAUUUGGUUGGAUAGAGAUGUCAACUAGAACAAAAGAAGGCAGUUUUGGAAGUGGUUUGGGGGAAACAAAAGGUUCAUCUUGACUGCAAAACAUUGCCAUCUAAUGAGAAUAUAUUGUCAAGCUUCUAUACAAAAAGAUAAAGUUUAUAACAGAUGGACUUCAGGUCAUUGAUUCCCGCCACAAAAACUGUUGUGCACAGAUGAGGAAAGCCGAUGACUAAAGUCAAAAUGACUGGGUAGAAAGUUACAAGUUCAUUUGGUU
Rosa chinensis is the source of this 1459-nucleotide long non-coding RNA. RefSeq lists it as uncharacterized. The record is from RefSeq and is a predicted model, not a curated record. The transcript is spliced from 4 exons. NCBI's taxonomy places the organism in Eukaryota, Viridiplantae, Streptophyta, Magnoliopsida, Rosales, Rosaceae.